GCACCCCAGCCUGGGCAACAGAGUGAGACUCUGUCUCACUCUGUUGCACAGUUUACAACAACAAAACUAUAGCAUCCAUCACAUAGAGGAGAGACUCCCCAACACACAUAUAAGGAUUACUCUCAGCCCCAGCUCCCUCAAACUUCCUAAGAUCAGCACUGGUAUCUGAUGGUGGCUCCUUGUAAAUCAAACUUAAUGGAGUAUGUGUUAUUUGGUUUAUGUUUAUGUGCAGCCUGCAUAACAACCACUCUGUCAACAUCAUGCAUAUGUUCAUUGUGUUGGUACUAGAAGACUCUAUGACACACACAAGCUGAUGUCAUCUGAUGGGUCUAUUUUAUCUACUUGGCUGUGCAAAUCCUCUUCUGUAGUAUAUGCUUUCUGGUGGACACUAAUAUGGAACACAAAGAUCUUCUCACAUUGCAGCUGCUCCCAUAUAUCCAUUGAUAUAUGCCUCUAACUCCAGACCUUUUUGUCCUUAAUCUUCUAAUCCGGUUAUCUCUUUUCCUUUAGUGCAAUUUUUCCUUAUUUGUUUGUUUUGUUUUUUUUUUUAAGUAAAUAGCUAGGCUUCUAAGCCCUACCACAGAGAGUCAACAGACAAACUGCCCAGGGAAAAGUUAUGACCUCAGGCAAAGUGAAUUUCUACAGCUAAGGCAGAUCCUGAAGAAGCUCACAAAUAAAGGCUGCAUACUCACACAUUCCCUGAAGCUUGACAGUGCCAGCCACCAUACUGUGAGGGAGCUGAAGUAAGCCCACAUGAGGAAGAAUUGAGGUCCCAAGCCAACAGCUGCAGCUAAGAUCCAAGCUCUCAACCAGUACCAGUUCAUCCGUUAUGCACACUAAGAUAUGGAAGCUAAAAGAGGACUAAGAGGAUUCUGGGGAUAUUACAAGAUAUUGCAGACUAUCUUGUUUUCCUGGAAAAGGAUUUUACCUCAGUCGACUGAAUUACUUUUUUCACUGUGUCUUGCCACUCUUCGUGCAUGCAUCAAAGACCCUAAUAUGACUUCUGGUGGCCUGGGACUCCUUGGGAAAACAGAAAAGGGGCCACAAAUCCCAUUUUGGGAACAAUCUGUUUUACUCAUGGAACCCCUGGAAUUAGAGAGCUGCUCCAAGUACAGAAAACCCUUUGAAGUCACUUGGAACUUUGUGCUCCGAUGAGGCCUGAAGGACAUGCAAAGUAAGAAACAUGGCCAUGCUUGCAAAUAAGCAAAAACUGAUCUAUGGCAGUUUUGCAGAAGAGAAUGGAAAGAAGUUUGGAGCUGCUCAAGGGCUACAAAUGCCAUGCUAGGAAGUUCACUUCAUCCUUUGGGAAGAUAAUGGAGAUGCAACAGAACUUUUAUGUAUAUUCAUAUAUUUUAAUAUAUUAUU
Molecule: long non-coding RNA, 1365 nt
Filed under: Homo sapiens (human)
Lineage: Eukaryota; Metazoa; Chordata; Mammalia; Primates; Hominidae
Description: HSALNT0328552
Source: RNAcentral